GAUGAACGCUGGCGGCGUGCCUAAUACAUGCAAGUCGAGCGAACAGACGAGGAGCUUGCUCCUCUGACGUUAGCGGCGGACGGGUGAGUAACACGUGGAUAACCUACCUAUAAGCCUGGGAUAACUUCGGGAAACCGGAGCUAAUACCGGAUAAUAUCUUGAACCGCAUGGUUCAAUAGUGACAGACGGUUUUGCUGUCAAGUAUAGAUGGAUCCGCGCCGCAUUAGCUAGUUGGUAAGGUAACGGCCUACCAAGGCAACGAUGCGUAGCCGACCUGAGAGGGUGAUCGGCCACACUGGAACUGAGACACGGUCCAGACUCCUACGGGAGGCAGCAGUAGGGAAUCUGCCGCAAUGGGCGAAAGCCUGACGGAGCAACACCGCGUGAGUGAUGAAGGUCUUCGGAUCGUAAAACUCUGUUAUUAGGGAAGAACAAAUGUGUAAGUAACUAUGCACGUCUUGACGGUACCUAAUCAGAAAGCCACGGCUAACUACGUG
This 497-nucleotide ribosomal RNA is filed under the name uncultured bacterium. RNAcentral's name for it is "partial 16S ribosomal RNA". It matches the Rfam family "Bacterial small subunit ribosomal RNA", at positions 28 to 507 of the family's 1533-position model. The record is from RNAcentral.